AUAGGAGAAAAUUUCUAACGCGGUUUCGGCCCGCCUUAUGAGAGAUUUACAAUUCUCUCCCUGUCUU
RNAcentral lists this transfer RNA (67 nucleotides) under Scoloplos cf. armiger CB-2006. Its description in RNAcentral is "tRNA-Arg". The record is from RNAcentral. Lineage: Eukaryota; Metazoa; Annelida; Polychaeta; Orbiniidae.